CCGCCACUAGCUCAUCAGGACAGAGCAUCAACCUUCUAAGUUGAGUGUACGGGGUUCAAGUCCUCGGUGGCGGCCCA
This 77-nucleotide transfer RNA is filed under the name Escherichia coli. Its description in RNAcentral is "tRNA-Arg". It matches the Rfam family "tRNA". Rfam says of the family: Transfer RNA (tRNA) molecules are approximately 80 nucleotides in length. Their secondary structure includes four short double-helical elements and three loops (D, anti-codon, and T loops). The record is from RNAcentral. RNAcentral also lists the same sequence under 19 other names. Lineage: Bacteria; Pseudomonadati; Pseudomonadota; Gammaproteobacteria; Enterobacterales; Enterobacteriaceae.